UUUUUUUUUUUUUUUAAGAUUGAUUGAUUGAUUAUAGAGAGCAUGAGCAGGAGGGGCAGAGGGAGAAGGAGAAAGAAUCUUAAGCAGACUCCACACUAAGUGGGGACCCUGAUGCAGGCCUCAGUCUAAUGACUCUGAGAUCAUUACCUGAGUUGAAACCAAAAGUCACCUCUCAACUGAUUGUGCCACCCAGAGGCCUCCAGAGUUGAGGUAACAUUUUAAAAGUAGAUCCCGCAAGAUUUACUGAUGGAUUAGAGAUAGUUCAAGAAAGAGGAGGGACUCCUGGGUGGCUCAAUGGUUGAGCAUCUGCCUUCGGCUCAGGGUGUGAUUCUGGGGUCUGAGGAUUGAGUCCCACAUUGGGCUCCCUGCGAGGAGCCUGCCUCUCCCUCUGCCUAUGUCUCUGCCUCUGUAUCUCUCAUGAAUAAAUAAAUACAAUCUUAAAAAAAAAAAAAAAAAAGGAAUCAAGGGUGAUUGGAGUUUUUGGAAUGGUGUCACCAUUAUAAUUACAAAAGUAAAGUACAUGUCUGAGGCCAGUGCAGCUCAAGAGGCUCAUAGUUAAGUGCCCAACAGUAUUUAAUAUGGGACCUGAGCUUGUCUAGGCUCCUGAGAAGUGACAAUGAGAGCUAUGGCCAGAAGAACAUAGGAGUCAGCUAAAAGAAUGGGGGAGGCAAGAAGAGUGGUUCUGGUCAAGAAGCAAGUGCACAGGAUGAGUAAGAAUUUUCCUCAGACAGAAGGAAAGUUGGUGUGUGGAGUUGAGAAGGGUCUCCUGGGUCAAGACAAUGUCAGAGAGGUGGGGUGAGGGGACUGAACUUGAUCCUGAGAGCACUGAGAGCCAAAGGAAAGUUGUAAGUCAGGGAGUUUUAUGCCCCCUUAGAGCCCUCAAAACAAAACACCCUGUGUGGAGAAAGUUCUGGAGGGAAGCAAAGUGGAAACCUGAAGACCAGUGAAGAAAUCAUGGUUUGGUUAAGGCUCUGGUUCUCAGGGUGGGCAGGCCAGGUGUCUCUUGUGGGUCACCAUUCCUGGGCAUGUGACUGGGCAAGUUACCUAUCCUCUCUAAGCUCCAACUUUCCCCUAUAAAUGGGAUUGAUGGCAGUGCCCAUCUCACGCGAUUGUGGUCAAGAUUGAAUGAAAUAACCCAACAGAGCUUGGGGGAGGGCUGGAUGGGGAGGCACGGCAGCAAUGACCGCACCAUCGGGCUGGUUCCCCCGGAGGUGGAAGGAGGGGCUCCCCACAGACUCCCACUUGGAGCAGCCAGAAGACUGGGAGGGGUCUGGGGAAGCGAGCGAGGAUUUCAGAGGCGGGCACUCGGGUCAGGGGCGGAGCUGGAGGCGGGAGGCUGCCUCGGACGCUCGGCCCUGCCCGCCUUUAGGAGCGGGCUUGACUGCCCCCUGGUGGCUGGAGGGGGGAACCUGAAGCGACGCCACUGUCGCUGGCCUCUCCCGCGGGCCAGUCUUUGGUGUGUGGCCCGGCUCACGAGAGGGACCUCCACACUUCCAAUCCUUGGGUAGUGGAUUCAGAGCUUGCCUCUGCUCUCCUGGGACUAGGGUCAUCAUUCUUCUUAGUUCAACACCAAAGUCUCCAGCCUUUCCCUCCACCCGAGCCCCGCAAUGCUGCCCUUGCCCUUGCCCUUGCCCUUUAACCUUAGCCACUUGAGCCACUCUUCAGAUUUUUGAUCCUUCUGGAAACAUCUUUUCACAUACGGGCAAAUACAUAGAUAUAAGUAUAUUUUGAUCCUCGUGGCCUCCCCCUGCCUUUUCUUAAACAAAUGGUAACCACCACUCUGCCUUGCCUUUUCCCCCUAAAUAAUGUAUCUUCUAGAACUUUUCCUACUCAUACAUGAAUCUCUGUGUACCAUCGGGUACCUUCAACAGUUAUCAACACUCAUGGCAGCUUCAUUAUUUUUUCUAGCUGUGUAGUAUUCUAACCAGAAUCUUAACUCAGUGAUUUCCAACCUUAACACAUGCACAUGCAUAAAAUAUUGGAAUUGCACACUGAAGGAAAGUUUUUGGAAGGGCUUUCAGACUGCCUACAUGAGUACUGGGGGAAAAUCCAUUCCAUUUCAAUAUACUAUUUUUACGAUGAGAAAAAUGAAAUACAACAUACUUCAUAAUGAAGUAUUAACUUUGAAACAAUGCAUAUUUUAUAUAAGCUUUUAUAUAGUAAGCUUAUCCCCCAUCAAGGCUUAUUAAUGAUGACUUCUUCAAAUUUUGGUGGUCAGCAUCAACAAGAGACUUCAUAGUCACAAGUAGGUGAUAAAAAUUUUAACCAUCCCAAAGCUUACAAUUGAAAUUAUAUUUAAAUGUUCCAACAGUUCUUCCCUUUAUUUAAUUGACAAAUAUAAUGUAUUCAAGUGGAUUUCAAAUCCAAAUGAACUUUUUCAUUUCAGGUAUUCUAAAUUAAGUUCCAGAAUACAGGAAAUGAUAUAAAGCUUUCGAGUCCUUUCUUCUUCUUCUUCUUCUUCUUCUUCUUCUUCUUCUUCUUCUUCUUCUUCUUCUUUCUUCUUUCUUCUUUCUUCUUUCUUCUUCUUUCUUCUUCUUCUUCUCUCUUCUCCUUCUUCUCUUCUCUCCUUCUCCUUCUCCUUCUCCUUCUUUUCUUUUUUUAGAAAAUUAUAACUUAUUAAACCUGGGCAAGGCCAAAUAGCACACAGGAAGAGGGGAAAGGAAGGAGAGAAAGAACAAGAAGGAAAGAAAGGGACAGACUUUGUAGUAAGACCACUUAAAUUUCAUAAGAAUUCACAAGGUCUUUUACAUGAAAUUAUUCAAGCUAAUGAUUCAUGUGUGAACCUAC
Molecule: long non-coding RNA, 2787 nt
Filed under: Canis lupus familiaris (dog)
Lineage: Eukaryota; Metazoa; Chordata; Mammalia; Carnivora; Canidae
Description: lncRNA (ENSCAFG00000057280.1)
Source: RNAcentral